GAUGAACGCUAGCGGCAGGCCUAACACAUGCAAGUCGAGGGAGAAGCCCUUCGGGGCAGAAACCGGCGCACGGGUGCGUAACGCGUAUGCAACCUACCUUUCACAGGGGGAUAGCCCGAAGAAAUUUGGAUUAAUACCCCAUAAUAUUAUUGGAUGGCAUCAUUUGAUAAUUAAAAUUACGAUGGUGAAAGAUGGGCAUGCGUCCUAUUAGCUAGUUGGAGUGGUAACGGCACCCCAAGGCUACGAUAGGUAGGGGUCCUGAGAGGGAGAUCCCCCACACUGGUACUGAGACAGGGACCAGACUCCUACGGGAGGCAGCAGUGAGGAAUAUUGGUCAAUGGUCGGAAGACUGAACCAGCCAUGCCGCGUGCAGGAAGAAUGCCUUAUGGGUUGUAAACUGCUUUUAUAUGGGAAGAAUAAGGAGUACGCGUACUUUGANGACGNUNCCA
This 449-nucleotide ribosomal RNA is filed under the name uncultured bacterium. RNAcentral describes it as "bacterial SSU rRNA". It matches the Rfam family "Bacterial small subunit ribosomal RNA", at positions 28 to 480 of the family's 1533-position model. The record is from RNAcentral.